Molecule: ribosomal RNA, 402 nt
Filed under: uncultured bacterium
Lineage: Bacteria
Description: bacterial SSU rRNA
Rfam family: Bacterial small subunit ribosomal RNA
Source: RNAcentral
UCGGGAAUUUUGGGCAAUGGGCGAAAGCCUGACCCAGCAACGCCGCGUGAGGGAUGAAGUAUUUCGGUAUGUAAACCUCGAAAGAAUGGGAAGAAUAAAUGACGGUACCAUCUAUAAGCUCCGGCUAACUACGUGCCAGCAGCCGCGGUAAUACGUAGGGAGCAAGCGUUGUUCGGAUUUACUGGGCGUAAAGGGCGCGUAGGCGGCGCGGUAAGUCACUUGUGAAAUCUCUGAGCUUAACUCAGAACGGCCAAGUGAUACUGCUGUGCUAGAGUGCGGAAGAGGCAACCGGAAUUCUUGGUGUAGCAGUGAAAUGCGUAGAUAUCAAGAGGAACACCUGAGGCGAAGGCGGGUUGCUGGGCCGACACUGACGCUGAUGCGCGAAAGCCAGGGGAGCAAACG